This 440-nucleotide ribosomal RNA is filed under the name uncultured bacterium. RNAcentral's name for it is "partial 16S ribosomal RNA". It matches the Rfam family "Bacterial small subunit ribosomal RNA", at positions 338 to 795 of the family's 1533-position model. The record is from RNAcentral.
CCUACGGGUGGCAGCAGUGGGGGAUAUUGCACAAUGGGGGAAACCCUGAUGCAGCAACGCCGCGUGUGGGAAGAAGGUUUUCGGAUUGUAAACCACUGUUCUUGGUGAAGAUAAUGACGGUAACCAAGGAGAAAGCUCCGGCUAACUACGUGCCAGCAGCCGCGGGAAUACGUAGGGAGCAAGCGUUGUCCGGAUUUGCUGGUUGUAAAGGGUACGUAGGCGGUCUUGCAAGUCAGAAGGUAAAACCACAGGGUCAAACUGUGGAAUGCGUUUGAAACUGUGGGGCUUGAGUGAAGUAGAGGUGGGCGGAAUUCCCGGUGUAGCGGUGAAAUGCGUAGAGAUAGGGAGGAACACCAGUGGCGAAGGCGGCCUACUGGGCUUUAACUGACGCUGAGGCACGAAAGCAUGGGUAGCAAACAGGAUUAGAUACCCCUGUAGUC